AACGCUGGCGGCAGGCCUAAGACAUGCAAGUCGUACGCGAACGACCUUUCGGGGUUAAGUAGAGUGGCGAACGGGUUAGUAACGCGUGGGAACAUACACAGCACAGGGGGAUAACCAUUGGAAACGAUGGCUAAUACCGCAUACGCCCUAUUGGGGAAAGAUUUAUCGGUGUUGGAUUGGCCCGCGUUAGAUUAGCUAGUUGGUGGGGUAAUGGCUCACCAAGGCGACGAUUUAUAGCUGGUUUGAGAGGAUGAUCAGCAACACUGGAACUGAGACACGGUCCAGACUCCUACGGGAGGCAGCAGUCGGGAAUAUUGUGCAAUGGGGGCAACCCUGACACAGCCAUGCCGCGUGAGUGAAGAAGGCCUUAGGGUUGUAAAGCUCUUUCAGAUGUGAGGAUGAUGACGAUAGCAUCAGAAGAAGCUCCGGCUAACUUCGUGCCAGCAGCCGCGGUAAUACGAAGGGAGCUAGCGUUGUUCGGAAUUACUGGGCG
This 493-nucleotide ribosomal RNA is filed under the name uncultured bacterium. RNAcentral describes it as "bacterial SSU rRNA". It matches the Rfam family "Bacterial small subunit ribosomal RNA", at positions 32 to 560 of the family's 1533-position model. The record is from RNAcentral.